GUCAAAGAGGAUUCUGGGAAAUGUAGUAAAGAAGUGAUGAUCCAGGCAGGAAAUGACAUAGCAGGGAGACUCAUACAUAAACAAGGAAAGAAGGAAGUGGGCCCUCUCUUCCUCCAGACUGGCAAGGGAGGACGCCAAUGGAAGGCGCCAAGAUAAGUCUUAUAAAAUAUAUAGAUUUAUGAUGAUUAAGACUGAGCUAACAGAUGAGAAUCCUAGUCAUUGGCCAAGCAGCAAUUUGUUCCUAAUAUAAGUCUCUGCAUUAAUUGGGACCCUAACUUGGCAGACAGAACUCAGGUGGCUGGCAUAGACCACCCAUGUGGCGGUAGGGCUCGGGUGGCUUUUGGCGGAAAGAUUUAUCCUAACACUUCCCAAAACAUUUGCAUUCUCUUUUAUUUUUCCUUUUCUUUCACACUUAGACCUCAAGGUAAAUUAAAAUGUUAGCUAAGUUAGAGAAUGUUACAAGAUUGAGGACUCUACAAGUUCUGCUUGCUUCUUGAUCUUUCUGAUUUAUGGACAGCAUGUAAAUGAGCAAGAAAAGACUCCAAUGAAGUGUCCUUCAUUGCCCUAGGAGGUCUUCCUUAUUAAUUCCAGUAGCUUUAUGUAGAGGGUCUGUACAAGUACAAAGUGGAACAACUUAGAGGUUUGAUACCUCUAGCUAGAACAUAGCAAACACUUGACUGUAUUUCAAAUGUUAGAGAAUGGCUAUUACAUUAGCAAGGUAUGAACUGGGGAAACUAGCCUCAUUAAAUCACCAAAGGUGUGGGGGCUUUUGUAUACCUUGUAAUCAAUGCCAAAUAAAGCUUAGAGCAUGAUGGGCAGCGACUGUAACUAUAAAGUCUUUGUCACAUGUGAGCUUGUAGCACAACCUGGAACUGAAGGUGUCUGUUCAUCUUCCUGAUGCUUUAUCAGAUCAGAUGGCCACUUCAGAAGAGUAGAAGAGUUCUGUGCCUGAGGACCACUGUGAUGGUUGAAUUUUAAUUUGGAUAUUCAUUUUUCAUUCACAUUGUCCUCAGGGAAGAUGGUGUGCUUAGGGAGUGUGGGAACUAAAAGUUAUUAUGAACCUUAUCAUCUAUCUGUUACAGAUCAGCAUAAACAAAGGAAGCAUGAUGGUCAACCCUCUGGGACUUGACCACCGACUUUCAAACUCAUAAGAGGUUCCUGGUGCUAACAUUUGGUUCCUGAAGGACUCACUCGUUUAAUUAGUAAAAGUGAGAAGACAAAACAGUGGCUGGGGAGAUGUUUCAACAGACACACUUUCCUUGUGAGCAUGAGGAUCGGUGUUCUGAUCAGCAGCACCCAAAUAACGUCCAAGCAGUCACAACAGACGUGUUCAUUUGAAGACCGGUAGAUGAAAAGAACCCAGAAGAAAAUGGUGCCCUUGCAGCAUCUAAAAAACAGCAAGAAGACUCCAAGUUCACAACACUAUAUUGGGAAAUGUAGCAUUAUCCAAAAUUAACUCAUAUGCGCACUGCCUUAGUGUCGCUGUUGUUGUUCCUGCUGCUCAGGAAUGAAACACUCAGACAAAAACAUUUUACUGGAGAAAAAAAAAUGAUUUAUUUUAGUUGACAUUUCAAGUCACAGUUCCUCAUGGUAGGAGAGUCAAGGUGGCAGGAGCUUGAAGCAGCUGGUCACAUGACAUCCAUAUCUGAGAAGUGCUGUCCAGGGAAUAAUAGUUCUGGCCACAAUUAAGCUGAGUGCCCACUGGACAUGGGGAGGGAUGCCUUUAAUCCCAGCACUCUAGAGGCAGAGGCGGCUUGUCUCCAGGUUUGAGGCUAGCUUGGUCUACAGAGUAAGUUCCAGGACAGUCAGGUUACAGGGAAACCCUAUCUUAGAAAGCCAAAAAAAAUAUAAAAGAAAUUAAAAAACUAAGCAGAGUGUUCCCAUUCUAUUUAUUUAAUCAAGAUAAGCUAUGGCAGGACUGUCCAGAGAUUUAUCUACAUGCAAUGCUAGAUUCUGUCAAGUUGAGAGUUCACACUCACCCUCCAGAACACUAACCAAAUAAAAUAAAUGGCAAUGUCCUCUUGAAAAUGAAGUUAUCUCAUCAAUGAAAUCUGAUGAUUUAAAAGUUGUGAAAUACUAAAUGUGGUGAUGUCUUGUUUGUACUCUAAUAAAUAAAGCUUGCUGGAAGAUCAGAGGGUGAAGUAAGCCACUAGUUAAUUAGCCAUAGAAGUCUUGAGAUCUGUAAAUUGAUACAGGAAGUAAGAUGACUGGGCAGAGAGAGGAAUAUAAGGUAGGAGGAGACAGGAGUUUGGCCUCUUUUUUGGUCUGAGGAUUUUGUAGAGGUAAGAACUCUAGUGGCUAGCUGUUCAGCUUCUCCGAUCUUUCAGCCUUCACCCCCUAAUAUCUGACUCUGGGUUUUUUAUUAUUAAGACCAAUUAAAACUCAUGCUACAACUAAAUGUAAUGAGGAUGUAUUUUUAUAUUUAAGAACUUAUCUCUCUUUAUGUGUGAUAACAAUAUGAAAAAAGAAAGAAGCCAGGAAUUAAAAAAAAAAAAGGAGGACAUGGGAGAGAUGUAAGGGAAUUGGGGAAUGAAGAGAGUGUUUUAAUUAAAAAUAUUUUUUUAGGUUGUGAAAUGAAAGCUCACAUUGAAGCUAUUCAAUGAGCCUCUAGUCAUCUUGUCUCAGUCCAGUCACCACAUGGCCAAGGACCAGACCCAUGUGUUUAUAUGCAAUCUUUCCUCCUGGGCCUGCCCCUCUUUCCUUGCUUGUCCCAUUUUCACAAGUGCCUUUGCACAGGGGCUGGUGUGCCUUGCCUUUCCCAUGCCUUUGUGGUUUAAACAGAAAAGUGUAAUGUCCGUUAAGGCAGAGCUUUACUCAUAAAUUAUACCUGCCAGAUGGUGGGUUUCAGUUAACUAAGGACACAAAGCAACUUUUUUUCAGAAAAUAUUGUUUCUUUGUUGCCUGUGCCUUUUACAUAAUUCUAGCCAUCACAAUCAUUAACUUCUUACACCGUAUAAAAUUUUAUGAGCAAAGGAAUUUCAUUACAAUAUAAUGCUGGGUUAACAAUUUCAAAAUAAUAGCUAUGCUGCCUAAAUUAUGUCUGGUCAUUCAAGUAGAAACCAAAUGACACCAGGAUAAUAAACAGGCAGAAACCAGGUUGCUACAGACAGGGAAUGGGGGAUUAAUCUCCCAAUUAGAAGACAAAGAUUUCUGUAUACAUAAUACCAAAAUAACCAAUUUAAUGUGUUGAUUGAGUUUAGUUGUGUUUUAUAAUAUAAAGAAAAUGUAGACUGCCUGGUUCCCCCAUGUUUUUUGUCCUUCAGCCCAUUGUGUGGCAUCAUGCACACAAAAUCCAGCUGCAAUUUGGGUUGGUCUUCCAGGAAGGACUGUCUUAACUGAAAGUAUUUUUCUCAUUAACCAUGCAGUAGUGUCUGCACUAAUGAAUCACCUGACCACUUGGUUGAGUUUAGCAGUAAGGGU
This 3420-nucleotide long non-coding RNA is filed under the name Cricetulus griseus (Chinese hamster). Its description in RNAcentral is "lncRNA (ENSCGRG00015032010.1)". The record is from RNAcentral. Lineage: Eukaryota; Metazoa; Chordata; Mammalia; Rodentia; Cricetidae.